ACUCGCCGAAUGAGUUUCUGACCUAUCAACUCGAGACGGCGGGGUAGAGGCCCGCCGCGGUAACGACGGGUAACGGGGAAUCAGGGUUCGAUUCCGGAGAGGGAGCCCGAGAAACGGCUACCACUUCCAAGGAAGGCAGCAGGCGCGCAACUUACCCUAAUCUCGAUUCGAGGAGGUAGUGACAAGAAAUACCGAUGCGGGACCCUACGGGUGCCGCGUUUCGGAAUGAGUACGAUUCGAACCACCUAACGAGGAACGAUCGGAGGGCAAGUCUGGUGCCAGCAGCCGCGGUAAUUCCAGCUCCAAUAGCGUACGUUAAAGUUGCUGCAGUUAAAAAGCUCGUAGUUGAACGUUCGGGUUCCGCGGGACGGGGCCGCCCGCGAGGGACGGCGCCGCCCCGGGGCUCCGUGAUAUCUCAUCUCGCCG
Molecule: ribosomal RNA, 426 nt
Filed under: uncultured eukaryote
Lineage: Eukaryota
Description: bacterial SSU rRNA
Rfam family: Eukaryotic small subunit ribosomal RNA
Source: RNAcentral